AUACGAACAGGGAAUGAAGUUCUCCCUUGGGUAACCAAAACCGCGUAAAACGCUGAUGACUUCUAUGGCUUU
Molecule: non-coding RNA, 72 nt
Filed under: Enterococcus columbae
Lineage: Bacteria; Bacillati; Bacillota; Bacilli; Lactobacillales; Enterococcaceae
Also listed under: 1 other name
Description: Fluoride sequence
Rfam family: Fluoride riboswitch aptamer (crcB RNA motif)
Source: RNAcentral